Molecule: ribosomal RNA, 448 nt
Filed under: uncultured bacterium
Lineage: Bacteria
Description: bacterial SSU rRNA
Rfam family: Bacterial small subunit ribosomal RNA
Source: RNAcentral
UGGGGAAUAUUGCACAAUGGGCGAAAGCCUGAUGCAGCAACGCCGCGUGCGGGAAGAAGGCCCUAGGGUUGUAAACCGCUUUCAGCAGGGAAGAAAAUGACGGUACCUGCAGAAGAAGGUGCGGCCAACUACGUGCCAGCAGCCGCGGUGACACGUAGGCACCAAGCGUUGUCCGGAUUUAUUGGGCGUAAAGAGCUCGUAGGCGGUUCAGUAAGUCGGGUGUGAAAACUCUGGGCUCAACCCAGAGACGCCACCCGAUACUGCUGUGACUUGAGUACGGUAGGGGAGUGGGGAAUUCCUGGUGUAGCGGUGAAAUGCGCAGAUAUCAGGAGGAACACCAGUGGCGAAGGCGCCACUCUGGGCCGUAACUGACGCUGAGGAGCGAAAGCGUGGGGAGCAAACAGGAUUAGAUACCCAAGUAGUCCCUGAGCGGGCUGGCAAGGCGCAU